This 195-nucleotide ribosomal RNA is filed under the name uncultured Acinetobacter sp. Its description in RNAcentral is "partial 16S ribosomal RNA". It matches the Rfam family "Bacterial small subunit ribosomal RNA", at positions 338 to 524 of the family's 1533-position model. Lineage: Bacteria; Pseudomonadati; Pseudomonadota; Gammaproteobacteria; Moraxellales; Moraxellaceae. The record is from RNAcentral.
CCUACGGGAGGCAGCAGUGGGGAAUAUUGGACAAUGGGCGCAAGCCUGAUCCAGCCAUGCCGCGUGUGUGAAGAAGGCCUUAUGGUUGUAAAGCACUUUAAGCGAGGAAGAGGCUACUUUAGUUAAUACCUAGAGAUAGUGGACGUUACUCGCAGAAUAAGCACCGGCUAACUCUGUGCCAGCAGCCGCGGUAAU